GGCCCGUUGGUCAAGUGGUCUAAGACACCGCCCUUUCACGGCGGUAACACGAGUUCGAAUCUCGUACGGGUCACCA
RNAcentral lists this transfer RNA (76 nucleotides) under Oscillospiraceae bacterium. RNAcentral's name for it is "tRNA-Glu". It matches the Rfam family "tRNA". From Rfam's summary of the family: Transfer RNA (tRNA) molecules are approximately 80 nucleotides in length. Their secondary structure includes four short double-helical elements and three loops (D, anti-codon, and T loops). The record is from RNAcentral. Lineage: Bacteria; Bacillati; Bacillota; Clostridia; Eubacteriales; Oscillospiraceae.